GACGAACGCUGGCGGCGUGCUUAACACAUGCAAGUCGAACGGAAAGGCCCUGCUUUUGUUGGUUGCUCGAUUGGCGAACGGGUGAGUAACACGUGAGUAACCUGCCCUUGACUUUGGGAUAACUUCAGGAAACUGGGGCUAAUACCGGAUAUGAGCUCCUGCUGCAUGUUGGUGGUUGGUAAGUUUCGGCGGUUGGGGAUGGUCUAGCGGCUUAUGAGCUGGUUGGUGGGGUAGUGGCUUAACAAGGUUUUGACGGGUAGCCGGCCUGGGAGGGUGACCGGCCACAUGGGGACUGAGAUAGGCACCAGAAUGCUACGGGACGCAGUAGUCGGGAGUCUUGCACAAUGGGCCGAAGCCUGAUGCAGAAACGCCGCGUGCGGAAUGACGGGCUUCGAGUUGUAAACAGAUUUCGCAUGUAACGAAGAGAGAGUGACGGUAAUGAGUCAAGAAGCACCGGCUAACUACGUG
RNAcentral lists this ribosomal RNA (468 nucleotides) under uncultured bacterium. Its description in RNAcentral is "partial 16S ribosomal RNA". It matches the Rfam family "Bacterial small subunit ribosomal RNA", at positions 28 to 507 of the family's 1533-position model. The record is from RNAcentral.